GAUGAACGCUGGCGGCGUGCUUAACACAUGCAAGUCGAACGAGAAGUGAAGACGGAAACCUUCGGGCGGAAGGCUUUAUUUCGAGUGGCGGACGGGUGAGUAACGCGUGGGUAACCUGCCUCAUACAGGGGGAUAACAGUUGGAAACGACUGUUAAUACCGCAUAAGACCACAGCACCGCAUGGUGCGGGGGUAAAAACUCCGGUGGUAUGAGAUGGACCCGCGUUCGAUUAGCCAGUUGGCGGGGUAACGGCCCACCAAAGCGACGAUCGAUAGCCGAGAGGAGAGGAUGACCGGUCACAUUGGGAAUGAGACACGGCCCAAAAUCCUACGGGAGGCAGCAGUGGGGAAUAUUGCACAAGGGGGGAAACCCUGAUGCAGCGACGCCGCGUGAGUGAAGAAGUAUUUCGGUAUGUAAAGCUCUAUCAGCAGGGAAGAAAAUGACGGUACCUGAGUAAGAAGCCCCGGCUAACUACGUG
RNAcentral lists this ribosomal RNA (478 nucleotides) under uncultured bacterium. Its description in RNAcentral is "partial 16S ribosomal RNA". It matches the Rfam family "Bacterial small subunit ribosomal RNA", at positions 28 to 507 of the family's 1533-position model. The record is from RNAcentral.